Long non-coding RNA from Zea mays, 1445 nucleotides. RefSeq lists it as uncharacterized. The transcript is spliced from 2 exons. The record is from RefSeq and is a predicted model, not a curated record. NCBI's taxonomy places the organism in Eukaryota, Viridiplantae, Streptophyta, Magnoliopsida, Poales, Poaceae.
GUCCCUCGGAGCAGCCACGUCGCUCAGAAAAUGUUAGUCGUUCGAUCUCAACACCCGAUCUCUCUCAACGUCCGAUGUUUGAAUCAACGCGAUGGUGCACAAGCCCAACGCUCGCUUCGCUCUUUCGUCCUCGCGAGGCUGCUGCCCACCACCAGCGUCUUCUCUCUCCCGUCCUCGUGAGGCCACCGCCCACCAACGCUACCGCUGCGUCCUACAUCGUCUCGCCCUCGCCCACCUCGUCGUCCGGAGCUUCGCUCUCCCAUCCUCGCGAGGCUGUCGCCCACCACCGCCGCCUUCUCUCUCUUGUCCUCGCGAGGCCGCUGCUCAAUAAAGUUGUCGCCGCAUCCUGCAUCCCCCUCGCCCUCGCCCACCACCGCCGCCUUCUCUCUUCUGUCCUCGCGUGGCCGCUGCUCAAUAAAGCUGUCGCCGCAUCCUGCAUCCCCCUCGCCACCUUGUCGUCCGGAGGACCUAGCAUCCAGAUCCGUCGCCCGAGCUGCUAUACCCGCCGGUUGUCACCAUCUAUUUAUUCAUUGUUAGAAACUUGGGUUUAGUGCUCAGGAGAUUUCCACAUGUAAGAUUUUCAUCUACUUGAGAAGAUAUGGCAGAGACAUACCUUUGUUAUUUUGAACUGAAACAUUGUCGAACACUGUUAGGUGUCCAUCGAUGUUGUUGGUGUUAGGUGUCCAUCGAUGUUGUUGGCCUGGUAGAUGAGUGGGUUGCUCGUUGUUUUGAAGAACUUGAUUAUGUAAAUGUAAAUUAUGGGGAAAUGACACUUUGCUGACGUGAUGAAAGAUCUUCCAUAGUUGCUUGAUACUGGGUUCUUCCACAUUGAUCCACAUCUAGGCAAUAUGAUCAGAACACCUGACGGAGAUUAUGUUGCAGAACUGUAUCAACUCCCUCUAAUUUUAUGUUAUAUUAUAUUUGGUAGGAAUUUCUACUGGGUCUGAAACUUGUAACAUACAGUUUUCUGAAGAUCUACGAAAGAUAGUGGAUACUUAUCAGAUGAGUGCUUGCACUGCCUUUCAAGUCAUCCGACUAAUCGCGAUUAGUCGGGCUGGUCGGUUUAGGGUGGCCGAUUAGGGAAGCCGACCCGAUCAGAACACCUGGUCGCCCUGGUGUUGAUGAAUUUCAGUUGGAUGAAGAUCUUUAGGUCACUGGUAGUGUGGUAGUAAGUGUUUCUUUGCUGUUUUGAACACCUGCAUUACUUUAGGGUCAUUGGGAGCUACUGUUUUAAGUUGGAUGAACAAAUGUCUUUUCUUAAAUGAGUAUUGCAGAAUCAAUGUUUUCAAGUCGGACGACUUGCUGGUCGUUCUGGCUGACCGACUAGGGCGAUUAGUCGGACGACUUGGGUGAUUAAUCGUGAUUGGUCCAAACCGACUUGGACGAUUAAUCGCGACUAAUCACGAUUAAUCGGACGACUUGAAAACAUUGCAUAAUUCAUGUCA